UUGAGUGCAUUAGAAACUGAUGUCCUCUAUUCACAGCAAGCACACCUCAGACGCAGCCGUAAUAUAAGCUUUCACACAUGCCUGUCAGAAUAUCCCUAAAUCUUUUGUGACGAAUCUCUUUUUACAGUGAGGAAAUACAUCGGUCUCUAUGCUGACUCAAUCCUUGGCUUUC
Molecule: unclassified non-coding RNA, 172 nt
Organism: Apteryx haastii (Great spotted kiwi)
Lineage: Eukaryota; Metazoa; Chordata; Aves; Apterygiformes; Apterygidae
Source: Ensembl